AAUAGAUACCCGGGUAGUCCACGCCGUAAACGUUGGAUACUAGGUGUGGCGGUUAUACCAAUGACUGCCGUGCCGAAGCUAACGCAUUAAGUAUCCCGCCUGGGGAGUACGGCCGCAAGGCUAAAACUCAAAGGAAUUGACGGGUCCCCGCACAAGCGGCGGAGCAUGCGGCUUAAUUCGAUGCAACCCGAAGAACCUUACCUGGGUUUGACAUCACGGGAAAAGCUGUAGAAAUACAGUGUCCAUUAGGGCCCGUGACAGGUGGUGCAUGGCUGUCGUCAGCUCGUGUCGUGAGAUGUUGGGUUAAGUCCCGCAACGAGCGCAACCCUUGUCCUAUGUUGCCAGCGGUUCGGCCGGGGACUCAUAGGAGACUGCCGGGGAUAACUCGGAGGAAGGUGAGGACGACGUCAAGUCAUCAUGCCCCUUAUAUCCAGGGCUGCACGCAUGCUACAAUGGCCGGUACAACGGGCAGCGACCCCGCGAGGGUGAGCGAAUCCUAAAAGCCGGUCCUAGUUCGGAUUGAAGUCUGCAACUCGA
RNAcentral lists this ribosomal RNA (537 nucleotides) under uncultured bacterium. RNAcentral describes it as "bacterial SSU rRNA". It matches the Rfam family "Bacterial small subunit ribosomal RNA", at positions 777 to 1315 of the family's 1533-position model. The record is from RNAcentral.